This 409-nucleotide ribosomal RNA is filed under the name bacterium. RNAcentral's name for it is "partial 16S ribosomal RNA". It matches the Rfam family "Bacterial small subunit ribosomal RNA", at positions 355 to 776 of the family's 1533-position model. The record is from RNAcentral.
UGGGGAAUAUUGCACAAUGGGCGAAAGCCUGAUGCAGCGAUGCCGCGUGAGGGAUGACGGCCUUCGGGUUGUAAACCUCUUUCAGUAGGGACGAAGCGCAAGUGACGGUACCUGCAGAAGAAGCACCGGCUAACUACGUGCCAGCAGCCGCGGUAAUACGUAGGGUGCGAGCGUUGUCCGGAAUUACUGGGCGUAAAGAGCUCGUAGGCGGUUUGUCACGUCGUCUGUGAAAUCCUAGGGCUUAACCCUGGACGUGCAGGCGAUACGGGCUGACUUGAGUACUACAGGGGAGACUGGAAUUUCUGGUGUAGCGGUGGAAUGCACAGAUAUCAGGAAGAACACCGAUGGCGAAGGCAGGUCUCUGGGUAGUAACUGACGCUGAGGAGCGAAAGCAUGGGUAGCGAACAGG